This 460-nucleotide ribosomal RNA is filed under the name uncultured Bacillaceae bacterium. RNAcentral describes it as "bacterial SSU rRNA". It matches the Rfam family "Bacterial small subunit ribosomal RNA", at positions 341 to 792 of the family's 1533-position model. Lineage: Bacteria; Bacillati; Bacillota; Bacilli; Caryophanales; Bacillaceae. The record is from RNAcentral.
ACGGAAGGCAGCAGUAGGGAAUCUUCCGCAAUGGACGAAAGUCUGACGGAGCAACGCCGCGUGAGUGAGGAAGGCCUUCGGGUCGUAAAGCUCUGUUGUGAGGGAAGAAGCGGUACCGUUCGAAUAGGGCGGUACCUUGACGGUACCUCACCAGAAAGCCACGGCUAACUACGUGCCAGCAGCCGCGGUAAUACGUAGGUGGCAAGCGUUGUCCGGAAUUAUUGGGCGUAAAGCGCGCGCAGGCGGCUUCUUAAGUCUGAUGUGAAAUCUCGGGGCUCAACCCCGAGCGGCCAUUGGAAACUGGGGAGCUUGAGUGCAGAAGAGGAGAGUGGAAUUCCACGUGUAGCGGUGAAAUGCGUAGAGAUGUGGAGGAACACCAGUGGCGAAGGCGACUCUCUGGUCUGUAACUGACGCUGAGGCGCGAAAGCGUGGGGAGCAAACAGGAUUAGAUACCCUGGUA